This is a long non-coding RNA of Orbicella faveolata, 500 nucleotides long. The record is from RefSeq and is a predicted model, not a curated record. NCBI's taxonomy places the organism in Eukaryota, Metazoa, Cnidaria, Anthozoa, Scleractinia, Merulinidae.
CAGAUCGAUAGAUAAACUUUAUUUCAACUCGGGAUGAUGAGGCUGAUUAGGCCUCUAGCAAGAUUAUGCUAAUUUACCGAGAAAAAUAACUUUAAACGAAAGAAAAUUGAAAUUAAAAAAUUACAAGAGGUAAAAGAGGUAAAAUUACAAAAUUACAUCAGGCUGGAUGGAGCUGAAAAAGCAUAGUUUAUUUCAGAGCAAUCUAUGAAGUGGUUCUGUUACAUGUGGUUUAUGUUAACAAUUUUCAGGUGAAGAACUUGAUGACUGGAUAAAAGCUCAAAACUGGACAAUCAAGGACGACGGAAAAGUAUAUGUUUGCAACCAGGAAGCUCAUAUCAAGUCCAAGAAUAUUGCAGAGAAAAUUGACUUUGAGAGUGUUGCUGGGAUAAUUGCCGCGGCCAAGUAGAAGUUUCGCGCUGAUAACUUAUUUCCACGUCUGAUGUUACUUCUGGUUUCUGUAUUUACCGAGUCUGCUGAGAAAAUAAAACCAGUUUACCAAU